UUGACAGGCAUGCUUCCCUUUCCCCUAGGCUUUCAGAAGAUCAAGCCUGCUCUGCAAUGUCUUAAACGCCUUUUAAAGGUAGGGUCAAUUUCCUACAGCCAGCUUUCUGUUUGUUUGCUUUAUCUGAAAUGAGGCUCCCACAGUUUGGUAAAACAGGGAGGAAAAGGGCCCACAUUCUGGCAAGACUUAGAGGCACCCACCCAAAAAUCCAUGCCCAGCAGAGGGAGCCUGGGACAGAAGACCACCCUUACUCCAACUCUGCAAACCUUCCAUGACAGUAUAACAGGAAUCACAUUUACAUAUUCUACUGGUGGAACUGAUAAUGUACAAGAUGAUUAAUGUGCUUCGAUGUACUGAUACCUGUAGACUGUUUGAUCAAUGUCUCACGAAGAAAGUGUCUUUCAUUCAGUAUGCUCAGAGUCCAAAAACACCCUGUGAUUAAUGUAACUAAAUGUUUGGGGUCAGCUGAAGCUACAGUUUCUGUUCCUGAUUCAAUAUCAAACUAAAGAGAGGUCACAGGAGAAUGGAUUAGUCAUGUGAAGAAAAAGUCUGGGUGUCUGACUUCAGAUAUCAACUUAAAAAAAGCUACAGAACAGUUACUACUACAGUAAUCCACAGAGUUUUUCACUUUGUUGUUAAACACAGAGCCCAACAUGCUAAGCCUUUUAAUAUCUGGAUAUUUUCACUAGACAUAUUA
Dermochelys coriacea (leatherback sea turtle) is the source of this 697-nucleotide long non-coding RNA. RefSeq lists it as uncharacterized. The record is from RefSeq and is a predicted model, not a curated record. The transcript has 3 exons. NCBI's taxonomy places the organism in Eukaryota, Metazoa, Chordata, Testudines, Dermochelyidae.